GAUGAACGCUGGCGGCGUGCCUAACACAUGCAAGUCGAACGGAUGCCUUCGGGCAUUAGUGGCGCACGGGUGAGUAACACGUGGUUGAUCUACCCUCAAGUAGGGGAGUAACGUUCCGAAAGGAAUGCUAAUACCCUACUAAGCUCCCGGUGUUUAGAAGACUGGGAGAAAAGUUACCGGCGCUUGAGGAGGAGACUGCGAACCAUCAGCUAGUUGGUGAGGUAAAGGCUUACCAAGGCGACGACGGUUAGGGACC
RNAcentral lists this ribosomal RNA (256 nucleotides) under uncultured bacterium. RNAcentral describes it as "partial 16S ribosomal RNA". It matches the Rfam family "Bacterial small subunit ribosomal RNA", at positions 28 to 291 of the family's 1533-position model. The record is from RNAcentral.